Non-coding RNA from Delphinapterus leucas (beluga whale), 437 nucleotides. The record is from RefSeq and is a predicted model, not a curated record. Lineage: Eukaryota; Metazoa; Chordata; Mammalia; Artiodactyla; Monodontidae.
CAGCCACUGGGAGAGACUGGAUGUCCCUGGGGGACCAAAGCGCACUAUUGGAGCUGACCCUGAUCUGUCUCUUCUUUAUGACAUGCCAUGUCUUCAUAAGCAUCAGGAACCAGGUCUGUCUUGGCUAUUAAUGUAUCCCCAGUUCAUGCAUAACAGACCCACAAGGGAAAUUAGUGAACUAGAAAAGCUUGAACGAAAGAAGCGUGUGUAUAGACCGCAUGGCCUUGAGAUGAUUCAUUUCCAGCUGUGUGUCCCUGCUGAUUCCUGAAAUUACAUGGCAAGAUGCCACCUCAAAAUCUGGAAAGAUGAGUGAAUUCAGACAGUCACAAAUGAGAUCUGCUUACCAGGAAAAGCUGCUAUAGCCAUAAACUGAUUUAAUAUCUUGUGACAUGUUACAUUUGGGGUGCCAGAUGAAAAUGUAUAUUUGAGUAUUAGCA